GAUGAACGCUGGCGGCGUGCCUAAUACAUGCAAGUCGAGCGAAUGGAUUAAGAGCUCGCUCUUAUGAAGUUAGCGGCGGACGGGUGAGUAACACGUGGGUAACCUGCCCAUAAGACUGGGAUAACUCCGGGAAACCGGGGCUAAUACCGGAUAACAUUUUGAACCGCAUGGUUCGAAAUUGAAAGGCGGCUUCGGCUGUCACUUAUGGAUGGACCCGCGUCGCAUUAGCUAGUUGGUGAGGUAACGGCUCACCAAGGCAACGAUGCGUAGCCGACGUGAGAGGGUGAUCGGGCACACUGGGACUGAGAAACGGCCCAGACUCCUACGGGAGGCAGCAGUAGGGAAUCUUCCGCAAUGGACGAAAGUCUGACGGAGCAAAGCCGCGUGAGUGAUGAAGGCUUUCGGGUCGUAAAACUCUGUUGUUAGGGAAGAACAAGUGCUAGUUGAAUAAGCUGGCACCUUGACGGUACCUAACCAGAAAGCCACGGCUAACUACGUGCCAGCCGCCGCAGUAA
Molecule: ribosomal RNA, 515 nt
Filed under: uncultured bacterium
Lineage: Bacteria
Description: partial 16S ribosomal RNA
Rfam family: Bacterial small subunit ribosomal RNA
Source: RNAcentral